AUAAGAGGUCCCGCCUGCCCUGUGACCCUGGGUUUAACGGCCGCGGUAUUUUGACCGUGCGAAGGUAGCGCAAUCACUUGUCUUUUAAAUGGAGACCUGUAUGAAUGGCACGACGAGGGCUUAACUGUCUCCCUCUCCUGGUCAAUGAAAUUGAUCUCCCCGUGCAGAAGCGGGGAUAUUUUCAUAAGACGAGAAGACCCUAUGGAGCUUUAGACAAAAGGCAGACCACGUUUAACCUCCCCCAUCACGGGGCCAAACACAAUGUUCCCUAGCCCGAAUGUCUUUGGUUGGGGCGACCGCGGGGGAAAACAAAGCCCCCAUGUGGACUGGGGAAACCCUUCCCUAGGGCCAUGAGCUACAGCUCUUAGCAACAGAAUUUCUGACCAAAAAUGAUCCGGUGAACACCGAUCAACGGACCAAGUUACCCUAGGGAUAACAGCGCAAUCCCCUCCCAGAGUCCCUAUCGACAAGGGGGUUUACGACCUCGAUGUUGGAUCAGGACAUCCUAAUGGUGCAGCCGCUGUUAAGGGUUCGUUUGUUCAACGAUUAAAGUCC
This 555-nucleotide ribosomal RNA is filed under the name Argentina silus (greater argentine). RNAcentral's name for it is "partial 16S ribosomal RNA". It matches the Rfam family "Bacterial large subunit ribosomal RNA", at positions 1845 to 2596 of the family's 2925-position model. Lineage: Eukaryota; Metazoa; Chordata; Actinopteri; Argentiniformes; Argentinidae. The record is from RNAcentral.